Molecule: ribosomal RNA, 497 nt
Filed under: uncultured bacterium
Lineage: Bacteria
Description: partial 16S ribosomal RNA
Rfam family: Bacterial small subunit ribosomal RNA
Source: RNAcentral
GAUGAACGCUGGCGGCGUGCCUAAUACAUGCAAGUCGAGCGAACAGAUGAGGAGCUUGCUCCUCUGACGUUAGCGGCGGACGGGUGAGUAACACGUGGAUAACCUACCUAUAAGACUGGGAUAACUUCGGGAAACCGGAGCUAAUACCGGAUAAUAUAUUGAACCGCAUGGUUCAAUAGUGAAAGACGGUUUUGCUGUCACUUAUAGAUGGAUCCGCGCCGCAUUAGCUAGUUGGUAAGGUAACGGCUUACCAAGGCGACGAUGCGUAGCCGACCUGAGAGGGUGAUCGGCCACACUGGAACUGAGACACGGUCCAGACUCCUACGGGAGGCAGCAGUAGGGAAUCUUCCGCAAUGGGCGAAAGCCUGACGGAGCAACGCCGCGUGAGUGAUGAAGGUCUUCGGAUCGUAAAACUCUGUUAUUAGGGAAGAACAGAUGUGUAAGUAACUAUGCACGUCUUGACGGUACCUAAUCAGAAAGCCACGGCUAACUACGUG